GAAGGUAUAGCUCAAUGACAGAGUGCCUGCUUGGCAUGCACAAGGUCCUGGGCUCAAUCCCUAGUGCCUCUG
This 72-nucleotide transfer RNA is filed under the name Camelus ferus (Wild Bactrian camel). It matches the Rfam family "tRNA". Rfam says of the family: Transfer RNA (tRNA) molecules are approximately 80 nucleotides in length. Their secondary structure includes four short double-helical elements and three loops (D, anti-codon, and T loops). The record is from Rfam by way of RNAcentral. Lineage: Eukaryota; Metazoa; Chordata; Mammalia; Artiodactyla; Camelidae.